CGGGCCACAGAACGAGGCCCUAUGCAGGUGUUGGUACAGACUGCCCCAAAAGCCCCCUGAGAAGUUGGUCCUGGGGCGUAAGAGGAAGGCACAGUGAAGAGCAGGAGUGAAAGCUGCUUCAGCACUUUGGAGCAGGAAGGAAAGGAAGCGAGAUACAGUUGGAAGAGGGUGAAGCGGGCAACCUGAGGGAUGGAGUGCAGGGUUUGACCUUCGAUUCUGGAUCUCCUCCAUUAGCAGGCUUCCGGGGUGGCGUUGUUGCCUCUCUGCCGAUCCUUCCUUUGGGUGGGGCUGUCGACUGGCGCCACGGCCUGUGAGACCGUGGGCGGGGUCGUUGCAGGCACAGUGGGGUUCCUAGAGUCUUAGGCAUGCUCACUUGAGGCGUUCUUCCCUACCCGUCGACUGAUCUCAGAGGAAAGAGACUGAGCUGCUCAAGCCUGCCGGUGUGGCUGUCAGGGUGUCCCGCGUUAGCCCAUGUGCCCGACUCCUGGGAUCUGACAGGGAGGCUGCUGAUGUCCACCUUCCAGUGCUUCCGUCCAUUGGGAGCCUGCCCUUCCUUGGCGCCGGCCGGCCGUGAGCGGUUAUCCUCCAUAGAUAGGGUUCAAGAACCGCCCAACCAUCACCUCAUGGUCACCUGACAUUCCUGGUGGUGGUAGGGGGACCCCCCUGGUUCCAUGCUCACAUCAGACCAGCUACCUCGAGUGGCAGGAACGUCUGACAGGAUUGCACAUGUGGCAGAGGAGCAUCCGAGAAGGAUGAAGGUUUGGCAGGAGAAACACCUACCAGAUCAGAUGUGAAUGUGUGGCAGAAGGCCCAUCUGGGAAGAUUGCACACUGGGCAGAAGGAAGAGCUAAGAACGUUGUACAGACAGCAGAAGGAGUGCCUCUGGAGAUUGCCCGCUGCAGGAGGGCGGGAACCGGCCCUCAUCCCCAUCGCGAUGGCUGCAAAGAGCCCAGCACCCUGGGCUCAGACUUCUGGGCUCGGCCCAGUGAACUUGGCGAAACUCAGGACGUCUGGGCUAGCCCUGCCAGCCUCCGCCCUGAACUUAUGUGCAGUUACCACCUGCACAUGGCACGGGGCCGCGGGAGUGGCAA
RNAcentral lists this long non-coding RNA (1091 nucleotides) under Pan paniscus (pygmy chimpanzee). RNAcentral describes it as "lncRNA (ENSPPAG00000045310.1)". The record is from RNAcentral. Lineage: Eukaryota; Metazoa; Chordata; Mammalia; Primates; Hominidae.